This 78-nucleotide transfer RNA is filed under the name Leuconostoc gasicomitatum. RNAcentral describes it as "Leuconostoc gelidum subsp. gasicomitatum tRNA-Thr". It matches the Rfam family "tRNA". From Rfam's summary of the family: Transfer RNA (tRNA) molecules are approximately 80 nucleotides in length. Their secondary structure includes four short double-helical elements and three loops (D, anti-codon, and T loops). The record is from RNAcentral. Lineage: Bacteria; Bacillati; Bacillota; Bacilli; Lactobacillales; Lactobacillaceae.
GCGGUAGUGGUGAAGUGGUUAACACACUGGUUUUGUGGAUUCCAGCAUGCGAGGGUUCGAUCCCCUUCUACCGCCCUA